GGAGGAGUAAAGAAGAAGAAGAAGCCCAAACAUUAUGACCAAGGGUCUAAAAAUGGGGGAGAUGAGAUUCCGGCAGGUGGAAGUUCUGCAUUGGCAACCGAUCCAGUCGGGGACAUGAUUGAAGCUGACAGCCUGGGCGAAGGACACCCGCCUGCUCAUCACGAUCUCCUCACGCCCGCUGAGAAGAGAUAUAUCGAGCAGAGGGAUAAAAUCAACGUGCACCGUCUGGCCAAAAUUGCCAACAAAUCGCACCGUGAUCGGAUCCAGGAUUUCAACCAGUAUCUUGCCAAUCUCAGCGAGCAUUACGACAUUCCGAAAGUGGGUCCUGGCUAAUAGUUCAGACUGUCUAAGAUCAAAAUCAUAUAUGUUUCCU
This 373-nucleotide unclassified non-coding RNA is filed under the name Hevea brasiliensis (rubber tree). Lineage: Eukaryota; Viridiplantae; Streptophyta; Magnoliopsida; Malpighiales; Euphorbiaceae. The record is from RNAcentral.